GUGGGGAAUAUUGGGCAAUGGGCGCAAGCCUGACCCAGCAACGCCGCGUGAAGGAAGAAGGCUUUCGGGUUGUAAACUUCUUUUCUCAGGGACGAAGCAAGUGACGGUACCUGAGGAAUAAGCCACGGCUAACUACGUGCCAGCAGCCGCGGUAAUACGUAGGUGGCAAGCGUUAUCCGGAUUUACUGGGUGUAAAGGGCGUGUAGGCGGGACUGCAAGUCAGAUGUGAAAACCAUGGGCUCAACCUGUGGCCUGCAUUUGAAACUGUAGUUCUUGAGUACUGGAGAGGCAGACGGAAUUCCUAGUGUAGCGGUGAAAUGCGUAGAUAUUAGGAGGAACACCAGUGGCGAAGGCGGUCUGCUGGACAGCAACUGACGCUGAGGCGCGAAAGCGUGGGGAGCAAACAGGAUUAGAAACCCUAGUAGUCC
This 428-nucleotide ribosomal RNA is filed under the name uncultured Oscillospiraceae bacterium. RNAcentral describes it as "bacterial SSU rRNA". It matches the Rfam family "Bacterial small subunit ribosomal RNA", at positions 354 to 796 of the family's 1533-position model. Lineage: Bacteria; Bacillati; Bacillota; Clostridia; Eubacteriales; Oscillospiraceae. The record is from RNAcentral.